This 468-nucleotide ribosomal RNA is filed under the name uncultured bacterium. RNAcentral describes it as "partial 16S ribosomal RNA". It matches the Rfam family "Bacterial small subunit ribosomal RNA", at positions 28 to 507 of the family's 1533-position model. The record is from RNAcentral.
GACGAACGCUGGCGGCGUGCUUAACACAUGCAAGUCGAGCGGAAAGGCCCUGCUUUUGUGGGGUGCUCGAGUGGCGAACGGGUGAGUAACACGUGAGUAACCUGCCCUUGACUUUGGGAUAACUUCAGGAAACUGGGGCUAAUACCGGAUAGGAGCUCCUGCUGCAUGGUGGGGGUUGGAAAGUUUCGGCGGCUGGGGAUGGACUCGCGGCUUAUCAGCUUGUUGGUGGGGUAGUGGCUUACCAAGGCUUUGACGGGUAGCCGGCCUGAGAGGGUGACCGGCCACAUUGGGACUGAGAUACGGCCCAGACUCCUACGGGAGGCAGCAGUGGGGAAUAUUGCGCAAUGGGCGGAAGCCUGAUGCAGCAACGCCGCGUGCGGGAUGACGGCCUUCGGGUUGUAAACCGCUUUCGCCUGUGACGAAGCGUGAGUGACGGUAAUGGGUAAAGAAGCACCGGCUAACUACGUG